UUAGUUAAACGUAAUACAUUUUACGGCAUGAAAUUUGUCACUGUUUGGAAAAUGUGUAUGGCCAGCCUGAUACGUAGUAUAGGCUGAAGCAAUGUAUUAUAUAUUGACAAGCAUUCGUUGAAAAGUAUGAAAUUUUUUGGAUUUUAAUAUAAUGUGAACUUUAAUAUGGCAAAACAAAAGAGCAGUCAAUGUAUUUGAGCGUUUCGAAAAUGACCAAAGGUUAAUAAACCACCGAAAAAAACUUCCAAAAAGUGAGUUGGAAAGAAAGUAUCUACCGAGCCAGAAAAAAAACAUUGGAGGCGUGCAAAAUUGAGCAAUAUAACCUUCCAACUAUAUUAAAUAUGUGUGGAUCAAGUAUAUAUAAUCUAAUUGUACCAUUCACUAGUAUGGAUGAUUUACAAGAUUCGAGGGUAUCUGUUACAAGUAAGGAUUUAUUUAUUCGUUUGGUUGAACCGAGUGAAUAUAAUUUUUUUAUAAAGAUGGGUAAAUGGUGCUAUCUGUAUAACAGAAAAGCAUCAAAAACAGAAUAUUUUAUUAUACAGAAUGGACAUCAAUAGAUAUAAUACUUUUGGAAGAAGUAAAUCUGUAAUUAACCUAAAGCAGUUCCUUCGAUGUUUAUGACAUAUCAUUUUGUCAUGAAAGAAGAAAUUGAUGAUUUGUCAUCAGAAAUACAGCAAACAUGAUUCUAAAUGAUAAUUUUGGAUCAUAUUGAAUAUAUUUUGUUAGAUAUUGAAAACAAAGUUAAAGUUGUUCGAGACACAAUAGAAAAGCACCAUGGCCAUACCUAGGAAUUGGUGCUUCUGAUACCCAUAAUAAAUCCAUAUUACAUGCCAAAACUGGAAUGUGUGGAUAUGGAAUGUCACUGGGCAAUUUACUUGGCAUUCCAUUAGUCAUUAAAAGAUCCACUAUGAGUUGCAACGGAGUUUCCCAAGAUAUUGGUUCACUAAAUAACAGGAUACCUUCUAUUUUUGGAAAAUUUGAAUCUAUUGGUCCACACUGUGGAUUUCUCUUUAACAUAUUGACAUAAUCCAAACUUGGAAAAUUUUUCACGAGUUCUUCGAUCGUCAUAGUUUUCUUAAAACCCAACUCUUUGGCUAUUUCUCUGACUGGACCUUGCCCUGAUAUAAGAACAUGCUUGUCAUGAAGGUCAUGAAACAUUUGCAAUGGAGAAUGAGCUAAGAUAACUUGUGAUUCUGAUAUUUCAAAUCCAAUCCAUUUAGAUAAAUCAGCUGCUUUUUGACUACGUAAAGCAUUUCCACUGUUCGUAACAAAGACAGUAGGAACACGAAAUUUGCCAUCCUCUCCUCUAAGUUUUUUAAAGGAUUCUACAACUGGUGGUAAAACAUUUUUACCACGCACUAUAACUCCAUCGAUGUCAAAUAAUAAACCAAACUUUGGUUUAGUGCUUAAGUUCUGAAAAUAAAAUAAAUAGAUAAAUUUUA
Molecule: long non-coding RNA, 1442 nt
Organism: Vespula pensylvanica (western yellowjacket)
Lineage: Eukaryota; Metazoa; Arthropoda; Insecta; Hymenoptera; Vespidae
Exons: 3
Source: RefSeq, a predicted model, not a curated record